AGAGUUUGAUCCUGGCUCAGGAUGAACGCUGGCGGCGUGUCUUAGGCAUGCAAGUCGAACGCAUCACUUCGGUGAUGAGUGGCAGACGGGUGAGUAUGACAGUGGUAAUUUACCCUGAGGUUUUGAAUAACUUUUCGAAAGAGAAGCUAAUACAAAAUAGUCAAGGGGGGACAUAAGUUAUUUCCCUUGUAAAGAUUUAUCGCCUCGGGAGAAGCCUUUGGCCUAUCAGCUUGUUGGUGAGGUAAUAGCUCACCAAGGCUAUGACGGGUAGCGGGUGUGAGAGCAUGACCCGCCUCACUGGAACUGAAACACUAUCCAGACUCCUACGGGAGGCUGCAGUCGAGAAUCUUCCCCAAUGCGCGAAAGCGUGAGGGAGCGACGCCGCGUGACCGAAGAAGCCCUUCGGGGUGUAAAGGUCUUUUCUCUGGGAAAAAUUAGCGAUGGUACCAGAGGAAUAAGAGGCUGCUAACUUCGUGCCAGCAGCAGCGGUAAUACGAAGGCCUCAAGCGUUAUCCGGAAUUAUUGGGCGUAAAGCGUUAAAAGGCGGUUUAGAAAGUUGGAUGUAAAAUCUCUAAGCUCAACUUAGAGCCUAUAUCCAAAACUUCUAGACUUUGAGGACGGGAGAGGUAAGCGGAAUGGCCGGUGUAGCAGUAAAAUGCGUUAAUAUCGGCUAGAACACCAAUUGCGAAGGCAGCUUACUGGAACGUUCCUGACGCUAAAUAACGAAAGCGUGGGUAGCGAAUGGGAUUAGAUACCCCAGUAGUCCACGCCGUAAACGAUGGAUACUAGGUAUUGGGAGCUCGACCCUCUCAGUAUCGUUCUUCUAGCUAACGCGUUAAGUAUCCCGCCUGGGGAGUACGGCCGCAAGGCUAAAACUCAAAGGAAUUGACGGGGACCCGCACAAGCGGUGGAGCAUGUGGUUUAAUUCGACGAUAAGCGAGGAACCUUACCAGGGCUUGAUAUCCUGCGAAUCUCUCAGAAACGAGAGAGUGCCUUUUGGAACGCAGUGACAGGUGCUGCAUGGUUGUCGUCAGCUCGUGUCGUGAGAUGUACGGUUAAGUCCGAAAACGAGCGCAACCCCUACCCUAUGUUAAAUAUUCAUAGGGAACUGCCUUGGAUAACGAGGAGGAAGGUGGGGAUGACGUCAAAUCAGCAUGGCCCUUACGCCCUGGGCUACACACGUGCUACAAUGGGUAAUAACAAAGGGAAGCCAAACCGCAAGGUGGAGCAAAUCCCAUCAAACUUACCCUCAGUUCGGAUUGAGGGCUGCAAUUCGCCCUCAUGAAGUUGGAAUCGCUAGUAACCGUGUAUCAGCCAUGGCACGGUGAAUACGUUCUCGGGUCUUGUACACACCGCCCGUCAAGCCAAGAGAGUCGGUAAUACCCGAAAUCCUCAUUUUAUGGGGCUUAAGGUAGGACCGAUGAUAGGGGCUAAGUCGUAACAAGGCA
Molecule: ribosomal RNA, 1448 nt
Filed under: metagenome
Description: bacterial SSU rRNA
Rfam family: Bacterial small subunit ribosomal RNA
Source: RNAcentral